GUGGACACAAAGGAGGGCCACCACCAAUUUUUAAUAAAUUGCCAAAGCCAGGAUUUGAACUCAAGACCUUAACUCUGAUACCAUGUUAAGCUUCAUGCACUAGACAACGCAACCAAAAGUACGAAAUAAUAAAAAAAGCUAAUGCAAUCCAUGUAUACUGUAACAGUUCUCAUUUAUCAGUUUGUGAUGGAUCUUCUUCGUAUGGCAGCAGACCCAAAAAGGGGCAUGUAUAUAUGAAUCUUAGGUAUCUUCGCAGGUGAUUGGAAAAUGGCCAAAUCAGCAAGGUUCCAGGCAACCCUGUAAAGACAGAAGGAAUGAGCUGAUGAGCAGAAGGCAAAGUGUCACACUUCCGUAGCUGGGAAUUCUGUCUAUUUCUCCCUCCCUGCACUCUUUCUUGUUUGCUUCGUUCCGUUGGAUUCAGAUAAAAGAUCGAGCGACGGAGCGAGUCCCCGCACUGCAACAAUAGAUGCUUGUUGCUGGGUAAACAUACAUGAUGGAGUGUAGCAACUCUGCGUGAGCUCAUGUUUCCUUCCGCGUGAUCACUGCCUCAGAUUUUUCCUUUCUUAGGCGAAUUCACCACAAGUACAGAACCACAUCCCAAGCAAACAGGCCUUGAAAGAGAAAUCUGAAGCAUACGUGUGUUAGUGACACCGGUUUUGCAGUGGUAACUACUGUAGUACGCGACCUGAAGAUACCUAGAUGACAGGAACUCGGUUGUUUCUCCAUGGGAGUGUCACCUCACCUCAACGUUUGUGGAAGUUAUACUGAAGGUGGCAUUUCAUUUUAUCUACAUAACAUGAUAUGAUGCGGCAUGGCAUGGAGGAAACAGCGACGCGGCAACUUGCAAACCACAAGGUUGAGCGUUCACACACUACAAUUGCAG
Molecule: long non-coding RNA, 883 nt
Filed under: Hordeum vulgare
Lineage: Eukaryota; Viridiplantae; Streptophyta; Magnoliopsida; Poales; Poaceae
Description: long non-coding RNA (HVUL_LNC002055)
Source: RNAcentral